RNAcentral lists this ribosomal RNA (497 nucleotides) under uncultured bacterium. RNAcentral describes it as "partial 16S ribosomal RNA". It matches the Rfam family "Bacterial small subunit ribosomal RNA", at positions 28 to 507 of the family's 1533-position model. The record is from RNAcentral.
GAUGAACGCUGGCGGCGUACCUAAUACAUGCAAGUCGAGCGAACGGACGCGAAGCUUGCUUCUCUGAUGUUAGCGGCGGACGGGUGAGUCACACGUGGAUAACCUACCUAUAUGACUGGGAUAACUUCGGGAAACCGGCGCUAACACCGGAUAAUAUUUUGAACCGCAUGGUUCAAAAGUGAAAGACGGUCUUGCUGUCACUUAUAGAUGGAUCCGCGCUGCAUUAGCUAGUUGGUAAGGUAACGGCUUACCAAGGCAACGAUGCAUAGCCGACCUGAGAGGGGGAUCGGCCACACGGGAACGGGGACACGGUCCAGGCGCCUGCGGGAGGCAGCAGUAGGGAAUGGUCCGCAAAAGGCGAAAGCAUUACGGAGCAAGGCCGCGUGAGUUGUGGAGGUCUUCGGAGCGUAAAACUCUGUUACGAGUGAAGAACAUAUGUGUAAGGAACUGUAGAGAUCGUGACGGUACCUAAUCAGAAAGCCACGGCUAACUACGUG